GUUUUCUUCUCUUGUCCUACAUAUGGAGAUCUAGUUGUGUAUAGAAGUGAAGAAACAUUGUUUUUCAUUUGGAUUCUGUCUGUUUAAGGAGGUUUCACUGAAAUAUGAACAAAUAAAAGAAGACACGGUGCUGUAAGUAAUGAAAUUGAAUUAAAUCUACUUGACAUGCUACUGAAGAUGGAGUUUGUUAAAGAGGAGUUUAAAGAGGAGAGUGAAGACAUCAGUAUUUCAGAACCAUUCAGUCUCAAGAAUGAAGACACUGAGGAACAAAAAGAAUACUAGGGAUGCCACUGUGUGAGUUUUUGAUGGUACAAUUACGUCUAAGAAAAACAUUGUGCUGAACGGGUUUUAUGGUUACCUGCAAAUUUUCCUAUAAACCACAUAAUCAUAGCAUAAUUGACUGUUGGCAGACACAGACACCGUUUCUCAGGGAUAUAUAGACACUAAACACAGUCCUGCAAUAGCUUCACUGACAAAUAUACACAAAACAAUUGGGCUAAAUAAUUGUAGCCUUUAACUGUACAAAACUAUCAAAUUUAUAAACCAAGUGAUGCUCCAGUUUUGACGCAAACAUUUGGCGUAUGCGUACAGUCGAAAAUUCAGCCUUUCAAAGGAUAGUUCGUUUGACUGUGCGCAUUACGACUGCUAUGAGACACAACCCUAUUUCUCUUCAGUUGUUAAGACCCAUAAAAGUGGAAACACGUGACACUAUGCUAGGGUUGGUCGCUUAAAGGCGAGCUCCGUACUUUGCUACAAUUAUAUUUUAAGCAAUUUUAACCAGUGAGAACUGUAAUAGUUUUGUUUGCUAAACUGUGCUGGGAGGGCAGGAUGUCGAAACAUUUUAAAUCGUCGGCCUGUGGGGACAUUAAAUAGCACUAGGGCUGAAACGAUUAGUCGACAUUAAAAAAUGUAGACAAUAAUUUUCGUUGUCGAAUAAUUUUCUCCCUUUUUCUCCCCAAUUUGGAAUGCCCAAUUCCCAAUGCGCUUUAAGUGCUCAUGGUGGCUCGUCUCAAUCCAGGUGGCGGAGGACGAAUCUCAGUUGCCUCCACGUCUAAGACCAUCAAUCCGCGCAUCUUAUCACGUGGCUUGUUGAGCGCGUUAACGUAGAGACGUAGCAUGCGUGGAGGCUUCGUGCUAUCCUCCGCGGCAUCCACGCACAACUCACCAUGCGCCCCACCGAGAGCGAGAACCACAUUAUAGCGACCACGAAGAGGUUACCCCGUGUGACUUUACCCUCCCUAUCAACUGCAAUUUGGUUGCUUAGGAGACCUGACUUGAGUCACUCAGCACGCCCUGGAUUCAAACUCGCGAAUCCAGGGGUUGUAGUCAGCGUCUUUACUCGCUGAGCUACUCAGGCCCCCGUUUAAUCUCAUUUAACGCAACAUGAGAUCAUUUGAAACGCUUAUAAUGACACCAUAGAGCAGCACUUGAGCUCACGCUUGAUUACGGAGAAGAAAGAACAGCUCACAGUUCAGACGCACUCCAAACUUCCCAAACAGAUUAAGGUGAUGUAGAUCACAGAGUAUGAGGGAAUGAUAAUACAAAAAUGCAAAAUAAGUAAAUACAGAAGCAGUGCCGUUAGGACGUGAAAUAAAGCAGAGCCGUACCUGGCGUUCCGCAUGAGCAAAACUUGCCUGUCAGAGUGUCUAAAAAGGGAACACUCCGGCGUUAUAUACUGUAUUUAACACAUCCUUUAUUAAAGUUCAAAUAAUAAGGAAGCGGGUUGUAUAAAUAAGCACAAACUCUGAAACUGCCAUUUCUCUGUGCGGUCAGAGUCGCAGUUAUGAGUCACGUGAAAAACAGUGCGAGAGUGUUUCAAACUUCUCCUGGCUGAUACACUGUCUCUCGCUGAGACGCUCAUCACACGUGCACACUUGCUGCAGCUAGAUUAUAAUAUGAUUGCCCGCGACGUAGUAGAUCAUCAUAAUGUGUUACAGUGUGUAUCUUAUCGUGAAGAAAAUUUGUGAAUAGAGAGUUUGUUUUUUGUGAGUUAAAGAUGGAUCGAAAUCAAGUGAACAAAAAGCUGAGAGGGUGUAGUUUUAGCCCAUUAUACAAUGCAAAAAAAAAAUUGGUUUUAUAUUGGUAUUGGUUUGUUUUCCAAUAUAAAUAUCUAAAAAUCCUUACGUACAUUUACUGUAGGAGCUAUACUGCAGAAUAAUUUUUUUCUGAGAAUGUUGAAUAUAAUUUAAUAUUUAAAUAUUUAAAAAUACUUAAAAUCCUUAAAACAAGAUACAUUUACCUGAGAAGCAACACAGAAGAUAUGUAGACUUGUUUUCAGAGAAUGUAUCUUGAAUACAAGUAUAUUUUGUCUUUACUGCACUGGCAGAAGUAUGAACAAGGGAAAAAAUACACUUGUAUACAAAAUACACUUAUAUUCAAGAUACAUUCUCUGAAAGCAAGUCUAAAUAUCUUCUGUCUUCUGAAGUAAAUGUAUCUUGUAAAGAUUUUUAGAUCAUAUUAAAUGGAAGACAAGACAAAAACACUUUUGCAUUGAUUUUUUAAAUGAAUUAAACAAUAGAAAUCCAAGUAUAUUUUUUCCACUUUAAUUCAGUGAAUAUAACUUGGAGGUAUUUUUUAAAAAUGACUUUGUCCUCGUUAUUGUUAGUAAACACAUUUAAUACAGCCUUUUAAGUCGAGGCACAAGCUGAAUAGUCGGUUAAGAGCUAAUGAUUAAUCAUUGCAAGGAAUAAAGCUGAGUUGUGCUGGGAAGGACCACAACAUCAUGGUUUUUCCAGACUUUGCCAGACCGACUCAAGCGAAGCGGGACAGAUUCAAAGAGUGUAAACAAUUACUGCACCAACAGAAGGUAAGCUUUGCACUGCCCUAUCCGGAUAAGCAGAGAAUUGACAGCAAGGAUGGGCGUAAGACUUUACAUGGCCACAACAAGCUAUGGCCUUCAUUAAAUCAAUUGAGUCAGUGGUUAACUUUGCCUGCACUCAAUCAUCAACAACACAGACUUCACAUCACGCAUUUAGCUGAUGCUUCCUGAGGGUUUGUUGUUAUGCUGUCUGCCCACUGGCUCCUGCUUGACUCUUUUAUGUUUCCUUUUUUUUUUUCUCCCUUUGUUAACUUGCUGUAGAGCUCAUUUGCUCAUGUUGUGGGUUCGAUUUUAUUGUUUACUGGGGCCUGUUUUUAUUUUAUUUUUAAUUUUAUUGAGCAUAUUAAUGUACAAUUUAAUGGCAUGGUUUAUGUUAAUAAAAAAGAAAAAUAAUUAUAAUAAUAUAUGGUCUUACAUAAGUACACACAUAUACAGAGAAUAAAAUAAUAAUAAAUAUAUAUAUAUACACACACACACACACACACACACAUAUAUAUAUAUAUAAUAUAUAUAUAUAUACACACACAUAUACAUACAUACAUACAUACACAUACAUCUGUAAUAAACAUACAACUCUAAACUAUAUCUCUCUCUCCACAGACCCACUGCGAGAGCCCCCCAAAAACAUCAAAUAUCUACCCCAUUUCCCAAUAAAAGAAUCCCAUAUCCCCAGCCUUCUACAUGUUACCUCUUCGAAGGCUGCCACCCUUCCCAUCUCCUCGCACCACUCCCGAAUUGAGGGUGCUCCCACCGACUUCAAACCCCUUAAAACAAUCUGCCUGCCUAUCAUUGCACUGGUGAGGACCCAAUUGUUUAUGUAUUUGUCACCUACGUCUAUGACCGCCCCAUCACCCAAAACACAGAGUCUGGGGCAAAACAAAAUCCGAAUGCCCAACACGUCACACAGAACACUCUGUACCUUCAACCAAAAUUCCUGAAUCUCAUCGCACCACCAAAAAACAUGGGUUGUGUCUCCAUCCUCCGAUUGGCAUCGCCAGCAGGUGGGUGUGUCUUUAAGACCAAGCCUAUACAAUUUAGAGGGGGUCCAAUAGAACCAAUGUAAAAUCUUGAAUUGUAUAAGGUGCACCCUUGCAUCUUUCGAUGUAGUUUUUAUGUUUUUUAAAAUCCUAGCCCAUUCUCUCUCCAGUCCAGGUUUAAAUCUUUCUCACAUAAUCUCUUGAGAGUGGUUGAGACUCCAUCCCCCAGACUCUGAAUUAAUAAGGAGUAAUACACUGUUGCCUCAUGGCCCUUUCCAAAAGCGGAAAUCACCUCUCCUAGAGUAUCUGCUGCUUUAGGGGGGUGUAUGCUAUUCCCAAAAAUAGUACAAAGCCAAUGGCGUAACAGAAGAUACCUAAAAAACUGAGAUCUGGGGAUCCCAAAAUAUUGAACCAGAUUUUCAAAGGAUCUCAUCACACCGCUCAUAAAAAAUCACAGAGUGAAUUAACCCUUCUCGCAAUCCACUCUGACCAACAAAAAGGGGACUUAUUAAUGCAUAGUUUGGGGUUUAGCCAUAGGCUCGAGGCAACAUUUAGAUAAAUAUCUGAAUUAAACACUCUGGACACUUUUGUCCGUACUGAGUGCAAAUGUGAAAUAAUGGGGUGUGAUUUAACUUCUCUAUUUAGUUUGAUGGAAAGGCUUUGCAAUGGCAAAAUAGGGGCAAGAAGUUCUUGUUCAAUGCAGAACCAGGGAGGGGUUCUUUCAGGUGGAAGCGACCAAUGAGCCAAAUGUCU
This is an RNA transcript of Myxocyprinus asiaticus (Chinese sucker), 4548 nucleotides long. RefSeq lists it as uncharacterized. The transcript is spliced from 3 exons. The record is from RefSeq and is a predicted model, not a curated record. NCBI's taxonomy places the organism in Eukaryota, Metazoa, Chordata, Actinopteri, Cypriniformes, Catostomidae.